RNAcentral lists this transfer RNA (75 nucleotides) under Kwoniella heveanensis CBS 569. Its description in RNAcentral is "tRNA-Cys (GCA) (tRNA-Cys-GCA-1-1)". It matches the Rfam family "tRNA". From Rfam's summary of the family: Transfer RNA (tRNA) molecules are approximately 80 nucleotides in length. The record is from RNAcentral. RNAcentral also lists the same sequence under 1 other name. Lineage: Eukaryota; Fungi; Basidiomycota; Tremellomycetes; Tremellales; Cryptococcaceae.
GUGGGGAUGGCGCAGUGGUAGUUUCGCGAGAGAUUGCAAAUCUCUAGGUCGUGGGUUCGACCCCCACUCUCCACU